UUUAACUGCCGAAGACAGCAGGUGCCGAAAGGCAUAAGGUUAAUACGCCUGCCGAGGGAACUGAUAUCGUUGUAUAUUUCUAUCCCCCUGUCCUGCGAGUGACGGAGGGAUUUUAUUUUA
RNAcentral lists this small RNA (120 nucleotides) under Clostridium fessum. Its description in RNAcentral is "Ribosomal protein L10 leader". It matches the Rfam family "Ribosomal protein L10 leader", at positions 11 to 133 of the family's 138-position model. Rfam says of the family: This family is a putative r-protein leader autoregulatory structure found in B. subtilis and other low-GC Gram-positive bacteria. It is located in the 5' untranslated regions of mRNAs encoding ribosomal proteins L10 and L12 (rplJ-rplL). A Rho-independent transcription terminator structure that is probably involved in regulation is included at the 3' end. Lineage: Bacteria; Bacillati; Bacillota; Clostridia; Eubacteriales; Clostridiaceae. RNAcentral also lists the same sequence under 1 other name. The record is from RNAcentral.